GAACCCUUGGCGCAGCGGUAGCGCGUGAGAUUCCAGAGCACGUCUCGCUGCAAGGCGGGUUGGUGUGAAAGGCUUCCUCAAGGUCAUCCGUUCAAAUCGGGUAGGGUUCA
Non-coding RNA from Trametes punicea, 110 nucleotides. Lineage: Eukaryota; Fungi; Basidiomycota; Agaricomycetes; Polyporales; Polyporaceae. The record is from the annotation of a GenBank genome assembly.